AUGAACGCUGGCGGCAGGCCUAACACAUGCAAGUCGAGCGGCCGUAGCAAUACGGCAGCGGCAGACGGGAGAGUAACACGUGGGAACGCGCCCUUUGGUUCGGAAUAACUCAGUGAAACUUGAGCUAAUACCGGAUAAGCCCUUACGGGGAAAGAUUUAUCGCCAAAGGAACGGCCCGCGUCCGAUUAGCUAGUUGGUGAGGUAACGGCUCACCAAGGCGACGAUCGGUAGCUGGUCUGAGAGGAUGACCAGCCUCACUGGGACUGAGACACGGCCCAGACUCCUACGGGAGGCAGCAGUGGGGAAUAUGGGACAAUGGGCGCAAGCCGGAGCCAGCCAUGCCGCGUGAGUGAUGAAGGCCUUAGGGGUGUAAAGCUCUUUGAGCAGGGAAGAUAAUGACGGUACCUGCAGAAAAAGCCCCGGCUAACUUCGU
Molecule: ribosomal RNA, 433 nt
Filed under: uncultured bacterium
Lineage: Bacteria
Description: bacterial SSU rRNA
Rfam family: Bacterial small subunit ribosomal RNA
Source: RNAcentral